RNAcentral lists this unclassified non-coding RNA (1501 nucleotides) under Neodiprion pinetum (white pine sawfly). RNAcentral's name for it is "uncharacterized LOC124211188, transcript variant X2". The record is from RNAcentral. Lineage: Eukaryota; Metazoa; Arthropoda; Insecta; Hymenoptera; Diprionidae.
CUCGACUUCUGGAACGGGAUCUAUGACAGCCUGUUCAGAUUGGAACUCCCGAUCUGCGUUCGCCUAGUCGCUUACGCUGAUGACGUGGCGGCGGUGAUAGUCGAGCGCUCUCCGGAUCUGGUGCAGUACAAACUAAAUCAAGCGAUGAGUCGGACGGUCGACGAUUGACCAUGGACUGCACCUCGCUACAGAGAAGACAGAAAGAACUAGUGCUUCUCAUCACAAAAUGUAUACCGACCAGACUACGGAUGACGGUUGAGAUAGACGAGAUCGAGACCAGGGGUGAAGCAAGUACGUGGAGGUGACCCUAGAUACGAAGAUGACCUUCUGACCUUACAUACAGAGGACAGCCCGGAUGGCGGCCGGAAGGAUAGCACCCAUAAGCUGCCUGAUGGCGAACACGAACGGACCGAGGCCGGGGAAACUGAGACUGUUGAUGUCGACGACGCACUCGAUUCCGUUCUACGGGGCGGAGAUCUGGGCAGAUUCCCUGAAAGCAAAGAAAUAUGUCACGCCAUGGCGCCAUGAUGACUGUAUAGAGACGGAGCGCGUUGAGAAUCGCCGGCUCCUACCGGACUCAGUCAGCUCAGGUCAAUCUGGUGGUUGCGGGCGUGAUUCCCAUAGAUUUUCUUGCUUUCGAAUGCAAGAGGAUCUACGGCAGAGACGAUCGUGGGAAGCAUAACUUCCGACAACAUUGUCGAGGUGAUAUGCUCCACGGGGAACAGCAGUGACAACUCGUUGCCACCUCCACAGAGACCAUCUUACGACGAAAGAACGCGGACGGCUGCUUAACGUGACGUGACGUACACGGAAAAAGUGCCCAGCUAGAAGUAAUAUUAACGUAGUUCCCGGCUGGGGGCGGUUGCGCAAGAGGUGGCGGUUUUAGUGAGUAGGCUAUUCAGGACUCCCACAUCCGCUCCAGCCUGUAUGACUGACGUAAAUCCCCGUCACUUGGAUUCCGCAACUCCUCGGAUAAAAAAAGUCCGAGGAUGCAACUUCCUGGUUGGCUGAACCAUUGUCUACUGUUUCCGGUUUCUGUUGAUGAAUCGAGAGUCAAGAAGAAAAGAAGGCCGCUAGAUUAAUAUAUAAGAAAAUGAUGGUGUACGAUCUUCUACAGCCACGCGAUACGCUGAUUAAACUGUCACCGCCGGCAAGGUUUAUGCCAUCGUCGAUCUUUGUCAAACGGUGCUUUCCAAUUGAUCGUAAGUCUGGAUCUCUCGUUGUGCAAACCGCAAAUAUAACUAGAAAAAUUCCAGUGAAGCGACUGGUCUCAAAGAAGUGGGUGUUCUAUAAUGUGAAUGUUGUAGAACACAUAAAAUGCGGAUACGUGCCCAUCUAAACAGUUCACGGAACAGAGCCAAAUAGAUGUCUGAACUGCCAGAACUACAUCUGCAAAUCCAUCGAUGAAGAUUAAAACGAGAGAAAGUGGUGUGAAAAAACGAAACUAUACAGAUUGCAAAUGAAAAUAUGAUAGCAAAUGAAAAUAUGACAGCAAAUGAAA